RNAcentral lists this transfer RNA (64 nucleotides) under Nasitrema globicephalae. RNAcentral's name for it is "tRNA-Lys". Lineage: Eukaryota; Metazoa; Platyhelminthes; Trematoda; Plagiorchiida; Brachycladiidae. The record is from RNAcentral.
AGUAGCUUAAUAAGUAAAGCUUUGGAUUCUUACUCCUGGGAUGUUGAUUUGACCUCUCUCGGAG